Molecule: non-coding RNA, 194 nt
Organism: Oryza punctata
Lineage: Eukaryota; Viridiplantae; Streptophyta; Magnoliopsida; Poales; Poaceae
Source: Rfam
AAAGAGUGCAGUUUUGCAAAACGUUUGACCGUUCGUCUUAUUUGAAAAUUUUUUAUGAUUAGUAUUUUUAUUGUUAUUAGAUGAUAAAACAUGAAUAGUACUUUAUGUGUAACUAUUUUUUUAAUUUUUUUAUAAAUUUUUAAAUAAGAUGGAUGAUCAAACGUUGGACACGGAUAUUCACGGCCACACUUAAA